Molecule: ribosomal RNA, 252 nt
Filed under: uncultured bacterium
Lineage: Bacteria
Description: partial 16S ribosomal RNA
Rfam family: Bacterial small subunit ribosomal RNA
Source: RNAcentral
ACGGAGGGUGCAAGCGUUAAUCGGAAUCACUGGGCGUAAAGCGCGCGUAGGCGGCUUGGUAAGUCAGAUGUGAAAGCCCCGGGCUCAACCUGGGAAUUGCAUUUGAUACUGCCAAACUAGAGUGUAGUAGAGGGAAGUGGAAUUCCGAGUGUAGCGGUGAAAUGCGUAGAUAUUCGGAGGAACAUCAGUGGCGAAGGCGACUUCCUGGACUAACACUGACGCUGAGGUGCGAAAGCGUGGGUAGCAAACAGG